CCCCCCCCCCAAAACCAGUGAUGCUCACUAGGGUCUCUUGUGUAAUUCUACUACUGCUAGUGUAAUGGCAUUGAGACAAACAAAUGUCAAUGAACGCAAUUAAACAUACUAUGUUUAUCAUUGAGUUGUACAUAAAUGUUUGUCACAUGAUUAGGUGGUGAAGAGGAGUAGCUUCUAUCUGCUCACUUCCCAGCAUGCCUUGCAAACAACUCAUGGGUUAACAUAGAAGAGAUCAACAUUUGUAAAGAAAUUAGCAAUAACAAUGAGUCAGUAGAGUCUCAAGCAAGUCAACAUAAAAACAUUCAUCAUAAAAUAAGUAUGUGUAAAUAGAACAAUAAAUGAUAGAAAUGUUUGUGUAGAAAAUCUCACAGGUCUAACUAUUGGAGUCAUUCAAUCCUAAUUCAUUGAACUUGUAGAGCAAAUGCUUACAACACUUGGUAUUCAUGAGAUUGUCUGCACUACGAACUUAGCACAGUGAUGGAUGACCUGCUACAACUUUGAACUUGAAUGUUUAUCUAAUAGCACUAGUGACCAUCACUUCAAAUGACUGUAGUUCAAAUAUACUAGCCAUUACAUCUACUUUGAAACUCUCAAUACUCUUUUGUUAUAGUUGUAACAGACACAAUACACCGAUAUUUCUACAAAUACUACAGACUUCAAUCUGUCACAUGGUCAGACUUCAAUCUGUCACAUGGUCAGUCACUUC
Non-coding RNA from Biomphalaria pfeifferi, 706 nucleotides. Lineage: Eukaryota; Metazoa; Mollusca; Gastropoda; Planorbidae. The record is from the annotation of a GenBank genome assembly.